Molecule: non-coding RNA, 104 nt
Filed under: unclassified sequences
Description: drum RNA
Rfam family: drum RNA
About the family: Firmicutes, Bacteroidetes (1 example), Proteobacteria (2 examples), Spirochaetes (2 examples).
Source: Rfam by way of RNAcentral
CAGUGUUGAUAUAAAGCCUUGUUUCAAGGUGCAGUGCUUUAUAGAUCUGAACGUUUAGCACAACUUGAAUAGGCGUGCAGUAAUGCUAAAAGAACCCGUUUUAA